UCCGGUUUGUCACCGGCAGUCUCCUUAGAGUUCCCAGCAUAACCUGAUGGCAACUAAGGACAAGGGUUGCGCUCGUUACGGGACUUAACCCAACAUCUCACGACACGAGCUGACGACAGCCAUGCAGCACCUGUCACCUGGUUCCCGAAGGCACACCCGUAUCUCUACAGGCUUCCAGGGAUGUCAAGAGUAGGUAAGGUUCUUCGCGUUGCGUCGAAUUAAACCACAUGCUCCACCGCUUGUGCGGGCCCCCGUCAAUUCAUUUGAGUUUUAACCUUGCGGCCGUACUCCCCAGGCGGUCUACUUAGUGCGUUAGCUGCGCCACCAAAACCUCAAGGGUCCCGACGGCUAGUAGACAUCGUUUACAGCGUGGACUAC
Molecule: unclassified non-coding RNA, 378 nt
Filed under: uncultured Cellvibrionales bacterium
Lineage: Bacteria; Pseudomonadati; Pseudomonadota; Gammaproteobacteria; Cellvibrionales
Description: contains 16S-23S intergenic spacer region
Source: RNAcentral